UAUAACCGGCGAUACCCGAAUGGGGAAACCCAGUGUGACUCGUCACACUAUCAUUAACUGAAUCCAUAGGUUAAUGAGGCGAACCGGGGGAACUGAAACAUCUAAGUACCCCGAGGAAAAGAAAUCAACCGAGAUUCCCCCAGUAGCGGCGAGCGAACGGGGAGGAGCCCAGAGCCUGAAUCAGCAUGUGUGUUAGUGGAAGCGUCUGGAAAGGCGCGCGAUACAGGGUGACAGCCCCGUACACAAAAGCGCAUGUGCUGUGAGCUCGAUGAGUAGGGCGGGACACGUGGUAUCCUGUCUGAAUAUGGGGGGACCAUCCUCCAAGGCUAAAUACUCCUGACUGACCGAUAGUGAACCAGUACCGUGAGGGAAAGGCGAAAAGAACCCCGGCGAGGGGAGUGAAAAAGAACCUGAAACCGUGUACGUACAAGCAGUGGGAGCACCCUUUGGGUGUGACUGCGUACCUUUUGUAUAAUGGGUCAGCGACUUAUAUUCUGUAGCAAGGUUAACCGAAUAGGGGAGCCGGAGGGAAACCGAGUCUUAACCGGGCGUUAAGUUGCAGGGUAUAGACCCGAAACCCGGUGAUCUAGCCAUGGGCAGGUUGAAGGUUGGGUAACACUAACUGGAGGACCGAACCGACUAAUGUUGAAAAAUUAGCGGAUGACCUGUGGCUGGGGGUGAAAGGCCAAUCAAACCGGGAGAUAGCUGGUUCUCCCCGAAAGCUAUUUAGGUAGCGCCUCGUGAAUUCAUCUCCGGGGGUAGAGCACUGUUUCGGCUAGGGGGCCAUCCCGGCUUACCAACCCGAUGCAAACUGCGAAUACCGGAGAAUGUUAUCACGGGAGACACACGGCGGGUGCUAACGUCCGUCGUGAAGAGGGAAACAACCCAGACCGCCAGCUAAGGUCCCAAAGUCAUGGUUAAGUGGGAAACGAUGUGGGAAGGCCCAGACAGCCAGGAUGUUGGCUUAGAAGCAGCCAUCAUUUAAAGAAAGCGUAAUAGCUCACUGGUCGAGUCGGCCUGCGCGGAAGAUGUAACGGGGCUAAACCAUGCACCGAAGCUGCGGCAGCGACACUGUGUGUUGUUGGGUAGGGGAGCGUUCUGUAAGCCUGUGAAGGUGUGUCGUGAGGCAUGCUGGAGGUAUCAGAAGUGCGAAUGCUGACAUAAGUAACGAUAAAGCGGGUGAAAAGCCCGCUCGCCGGAAGACCAAGGGUUCCUGUCCAACGUUAAUCGGGGCAGGGUGAGUCGACCCCUAAGGCGAGGCCGAAAGGCGUAGUCGAUGGGAAACGGGUUAAUAUUCCCGUACUUGGUGUUACUGCGAAGGGGGGACGGAGAAGGCUAUGUUGGCCGGG
This 1349-nucleotide ribosomal RNA is filed under the name Salmonella enterica subsp. enterica serovar Enteritidis. RNAcentral's name for it is "partial 23S ribosomal RNA". It matches the Rfam family "Bacterial large subunit ribosomal RNA", at positions 99 to 1495 of the family's 2925-position model. The record is from RNAcentral. Lineage: Bacteria; Pseudomonadati; Pseudomonadota; Gammaproteobacteria; Enterobacterales; Enterobacteriaceae.